RNAcentral lists this ribosomal RNA (348 nucleotides) under uncultured bacterium. RNAcentral's name for it is "bacterial SSU rRNA". It matches the Rfam family "Bacterial small subunit ribosomal RNA", at positions 8 to 349 of the family's 1533-position model. The record is from RNAcentral.
AGAGUUUGAUCAUGGCUCAGGAUGAACGCUAGCUACAGGCUUAACACAUGCAAGUCGAGGGGAAACGACAUCGAAAGCUUGCUUUUGAUGGGCGUCGACCGGCGCACGGGUGAGUAACGCGUAUCCAACCUGCCCAUCACUUGGGGAUAACCUUGCGAAAGUAAGACUAAUACCCAAUGACGUCUCUAGAAGACAUCUGAAAGAGAUUAAAGAUUUAUCGGUGAUGGAUGGGGAUGCGUCUGAUUAGCUUGUGGCGGGUAACGCCACAAGGCGACGAUCAGUAGGGGUUCUGAGAGGAAGGUCCCCCANAUUGGAACUGAGACACGGUCCAAACUCCGUACGGGAGCA